CUCCCUUUUCAGUGACAAUAUAUAUUCUGAUAUCACACUGGAAUCAAACAAUUAUUCAAUUAUUAUUUUUAUUACGGAUGGGUUCCUGUAGAAGAUGUAUGUUUAAAAUUUGCAUUUUAAUUUAAAUAGUCAUCAGUGUAAUAAAAGCAACUUAUUCUUCACAAUGACAUAAUUGGAAACCCUCUUUUAUGUAAACCGACGCUUUAGUUAUAAAAUAUGGCAGCUGAUGUGUUUAUGUACAUUUCGUUACUUAUAAUAUUCGCCUUUUGAAGGUUUUGUUAGCUCUAUGCUUUUACAGCGAGUUCUAAAACUAUCUAGACAGGCAAGACUCCAGUGUUGUAUGAAGACGGGUCGCCAGUAGAGAUAGAAGAAGCAUCUGAAUGUAUAACUGGCAGGUGCGGUGGAAAUGAAGUUGCUAAGACGUCGAGUACUCUGUCAAUACCAGUUCUGCAGGAUGGAAAGGACUAUUUGUUUCAAGUUCUCAUUAAACAUAAGAAUGUUCCUAAUAAUGAACACGAUAUUAUCAUCAUCUCAACGCGGACAUACAAAUUUAAGAUACCAACUGCUUCGGAAGCAAAGAGUUCCAACAAACCGAACAUUGGCCUCAUCGUUGGUUUGACGGUUGGGUGUGUUGUUUUAUUUGUAUUGGUUGUUGUCGUUGUUUUUGUAAUAAAACGUCGUCUGUC
Molecule: long non-coding RNA, 686 nt
Organism: Mercenaria mercenaria
Lineage: Eukaryota; Metazoa; Mollusca; Bivalvia; Venerida; Veneridae
Exons: 2
Source: RefSeq, a predicted model, not a curated record